UACGUAGGGACCGAGCGUUGUCCGGAUUCAUUGGGCGUAAAGAGCUCGUAGGCGGCCACUCAAGUCGAAUGUGAAAACCAGAGGCUCAACCUCUGGCCUGCAUCCGAUACUGCCCGACUAGAGGUAGGUAGGGGAGAUCGGAAUUCCUGGUGUAGCGGUGAAAUGCGCAGAUAUCAGGAGGAACACCGGUGGCGAAGGCGGAUCUCUGGGCCUUACCUGACGCUGAGGCGCGAAAGCUAGGGGAGCAAACAGG
RNAcentral lists this ribosomal RNA (253 nucleotides) under uncultured bacterium. RNAcentral's name for it is "partial 16S ribosomal RNA". It matches the Rfam family "Bacterial small subunit ribosomal RNA", at positions 524 to 776 of the family's 1533-position model. The record is from RNAcentral.